UUGUACAAUUGGUUAGAUUUUAUUUGUUUGUUAUUAGCUUUUAAUUUUUGUUGUGUAACAUUUCAACUUGAUUACUUGUGAUUCAAUGCUUGUAUUAUUAUUAAUAUCAAGUAAUUAUGUAUUUGAAACAUUUAGUGCAUUGUUGUUGGUGAUUGUUCAGUAACAAUUUGGGUUAUUACAGGUUCGACUUGGACUUCGAUACAAAACAAAAAAGGACAAAGCUGAGGACGAAAUGAAAGUAAAGAAAGUAAAAUGGAUAAAGAAGAAUGCGAAGAAGAUUUAACAUAAGUUAAGUUGUUCAUUAAAGAGGUCGCAUUUCCUUCAUUUUUCACACACAACAUGCAAGUUAAUUGGCCUCAAUGAACCUCAUCAUCAUCAUCAUUAUUAUCCUUAUCUUUGUCGUCGUCUUCGGCUAACAUCGUAGAUAUGCUAAUGGACAAUCAGUACUUUUACCUGGACACACAAGCAGAAGCAGUUGAAGACAAAAAUGCAUACGUUAAAAAACUUUUGUCCAUUUUAUUAGCAACCUUAAUCAUUGUUGAGUUUUUAUGGUUAAAAAACAAUCUGCUCGAAUGGACCAAUUGGUUAGAUAAAAGAAAGAUGACCGUCAUCAUUAUCAAGACCAUCAUCAUAUUACCGAAAGGUGACAAAUGAGGAGAAACUCAAUAAUCCAGUUGACAUUGAAUACAAACACAUUCACAUUUGGAACACAUUUUAUUGUUAUUGUUAUUACACUUGACCACCCUGAUGGCAAUUUGGCUUAAUCACAAUAUAAUCGAUCGUUUAGAUAAUUCAAUUAUCCCGUUAUAAUCAAUCGUUAUAAUUCAAAAUUAUAAUCUUAGGCAACAAAUUAACUUCCGUCCGAAACUACCAUUUAGUCAAUCACUACUGAACAUCUUCAAUAAUGGCAAUGAUAAUAAUAGUUGGUGGAUAAAUGCGUGUUGACAAUCAUCACCCUCAAUAUUGAUUGUAUCCUUAAACUGUUUUUUCAUCCAUUAUGAAAUUACAUGAUUCAACCUCAGCUAGUUUGGUAUAAUCUCAUUGAUUAAUAUUUACAAUUUUAUUGUUUCGCCUCUAGUAACAAUCAAAUAAUGAUUGUGAAAAACAGCUAAUAAUAAUACACUUAAACCAACUGUUUAAAUUUUUCUACCAUGUUACAUGUGAUUUUUGCUAUAACAGUAAUUGUUGUACUCUUCCUAUAAUCAUUGAGAUUCUUCCGUCUUGAUUAAUAUUUAGUGUUUACUAAUUGUAACCAUUUCUCACAUGAUUAUGUUGACGAUUAUUUGAUUCUUGUUAAUUAAUCUUGACAUGUUGUUGCUUUGUUGUAACGUUCGUAAACGUUCAACCUUUUUUAAAUAUAUGUAUUUAUAACAAUUUAUAAUACAAUUACAGAUUGUUAAUUUACAAUUUAAAGACAAAAGUGCGAUCAACAAUGAGAAUCUGGUUUUCACAUGGAAAUGGUUAAUCUGAUUAAGAUAAUGUAUAAUGACCAAGAAAGACUUUAAUUAAUGAUAAAUUGAUUCAAAACAACUCACAAUUCAACCUUUUUCCUGUUUUCAUUAAUGACACUGAGAACCCACAAGAUAUUGAUAUUUAAUUGUGUGAUAAUUUUGAUUCACAGAGCAAAGAAACCAGCUUCCAAACAAUUAAUAUAACAAGUAAAUUGAAAGAUUCCCAAAGUGUAUCAAUGGAAACAUCCAAGGAUUACCUUCAACAUGAUUAACUUGAUCAAUAAAGUGGAUAAACAGAAUCACCUUUACACAAACACCAUUAAUCUAAUCACAAACUAAACAAAUUAGCUAAUUCUAUCGUCCAAGAUUCAAAUUUACAUUUCCAUUUCAAUAUUCAGACAGAAUUGGUCAACAAAUUAAACCAAUGACAAUGAUUGAGGUUCAAGUUUAGACACUUUAA
This is a long non-coding RNA of Tetranychus urticae (two-spotted spider mite), 1911 nucleotides long. RefSeq lists it as uncharacterized. Lineage: Eukaryota; Metazoa; Arthropoda; Arachnida; Trombidiformes; Tetranychidae. The record is from RefSeq and is a predicted model, not a curated record.